This 240-nucleotide ribosomal RNA is filed under the name uncultured Geobacteraceae bacterium. RNAcentral's name for it is "partial 16S ribosomal RNA". It matches the Rfam family "Bacterial small subunit ribosomal RNA", at positions 298 to 530 of the family's 1533-position model. The record is from RNAcentral. Lineage: Bacteria; Pseudomonadati; Thermodesulfobacteriota; Desulfuromonadia; Geobacterales; Geobacteraceae.
GGAUGAUCAGCCACACUGGAACAGAGACACGGUCCAGACUCCUACGGGAGGCAGCAGUGGGGAAUUUUGCGCAAUGGGGGAAACCCUGACGCAGCAACGCCGCGUGAGUGAUGAAGGCUUUCGGGUCGUAAAGCUCUGUCAGAGGGGAAGAAAUGGGUCGUGCUAAUAUCGCGACUUCUUGACGGUACCCUCAAAGGAAGCACCGGCUAACUCCGUGCCAGCAGCCGCGGUAAUACAAGG